RNAcentral lists this ribosomal RNA (119 nucleotides) under Dicentrarchus labrax (European seabass). The record is from RNAcentral. Lineage: Eukaryota; Metazoa; Chordata; Actinopteri; Moronidae.
GCUUACGGCCAUACCACCCUGAACGCGCCCGAUCUCGUCCGAUUCUCGGAAGCUAAGCAGGGUCGGGCCUGGUUAUACUUGGAUGGGAGACCGCCUGGGAAUACCAGGUGCUGUAAGCC